AAAACGAUGAGACUGCCCAUGCAGGAAGACUCGCGAAUAUUGUGGGAACGGUGGUAGUAGAUAGCAUACGGCUCGCGGAGCCAACAGACACAAUGUGGUGGGAAAAU
Caenorhabditis elegans is the source of this 107-nucleotide non-coding RNA. The record is from Ensembl. Lineage: Eukaryota; Metazoa; Nematoda; Chromadorea; Rhabditida; Rhabditidae.